Molecule: ribosomal RNA, 478 nt
Filed under: uncultured organism
Description: partial 16S ribosomal RNA
Rfam family: Bacterial small subunit ribosomal RNA
Source: RNAcentral
UACACUCCUACGGGAGGCAGCAGUGGGGAAUUUUGGACAAUGGGCGAAAGCCUGAUCCAGCCAUGCCGCGUGCAGGAUGAAGGCCUUCGGGUUGUAAACUGCUUUUGUACGGAACGAAACGGCCUUUUCUAAUAAAGAGGGCUAAUGACGGUACCGUAAGAAUAAGCACCGGCUAACUACGUGCCAGCAGCCGCGGUAAUACGUAGGGUGCAAGCGUUAAUCGGAAUUACUGGGCGUAAAGCGUGCGCAGGCGGUUAUGUAAGACAGUUGUGAAAUCCCCGGGCUCAACCUGGGAACUGCAUCUGUGACUGCAUAGCUAGAGUACGGUAGAGGGGGAUGGAAUUCCGCGUGUAGCAGUGAAAUGCGUAGAUAUGCGGAGGAACACCGAUGGCGAAGGCAAUCCCCUGGACCUGUACUGACGCUCAUGCACGAAAGCGUGGGGAGCAAACAGGAUUAGAAACCCCUGUAGUCCCAUGAU